RNAcentral lists this unclassified non-coding RNA (431 nucleotides) under soil metagenome. RNAcentral's name for it is "partial contains 5.8S ribosomal RNA, internal transcribed spacer 2, and large subunit ribosomal RNA". The stretch from base 3 to 119 matches the Rfam family "5.8S ribosomal RNA", at positions 38 to 154 of the family's 154-position model. The record is from RNAcentral.
GAGAAGAACGCAGCGAAAUGCGAUACGUAAUGUGAAUUGCAGAAUUCAGUGAAUCAUCGAAUCUUUGAACGCAUAUUGCGCUCUCUGGUAUUCCGGAGAGCAUGCUUGUUUGAGUAUCAGUAAACACCUCAACUUCCAUAUCUUUUUUGAAAUGGGAGUUGGACUUGAGUGAUCCCAACGCUUUUCCUCACCGAAAAGUGGCGGGUUACUUGAAAUGCAGGUGCAGCUGGACUUUUCUCUGAGCUAUAAGCAUAUCUAUUUAGUCUGCCUAAAAAACAGAUUAUUACCUUUGCUGCAGCUAACAUAAAGGAGAUUAGUUCUUGUGCUGACUGAUGCAGGAUUCACAAAGACGGCUUCGGCCGACUUUGUAAACUCGAUCUCAAAUCAAGUAAGACUACCCGCUGAACUUAAGCAUAUCAAUAAGCGGAGGA